UGUGAAUCCAGCUGUGUGAGUGUGUACCGUUGGCCGGUGGUGCCCGCUGCUUGCUACGUCAAAGCGCUGAUUAGGAAGCAGCGUGCAGUGAGCGCGAGCCUUCGUGUCCGUGGCCAGGCGGAUCAGACGGGCUGUGUGCGGCGGAGGAGAAGCAUCUCUUUGUCGUCCUGACUAUAGUAACCGAGCUCUGGCCGACGGCAGGAACAGAGCCGCUCCGCAGCGUCCCCCUGCCUCUCCUUCCUACCCGGGCUCCGUGUCGGAUAUCCCCGCUGUAGGCUAACAAAGCCCGCUGCCAGCCUCCCGCAGACGGCGGCUCUCCGGACCAGGCGGCUCCGGGUUGCAUGGUGGUGCUUCGGCGGCUUCAGCGCUUCAACAAAUGCAGAAAAGGGAGAAAAGUUUCGGUAUACAAAUGCUCUCCGUCCAGCCGGACACCAAGCCAAAAGGCUGUGCCGGCUGCAACCGGAAGAUCAAGGACCGCUACCUGCUGAAGGCCCUGGAUAAGUACUGGCACGAGGACUGCCUCAAGUGUGCCUGCUGUGACUGCCGGCUGGGCGAGGUGGGCUCCACGCUCUACACCAAAGCCAACCUCAUCCUGUGCCGGAGAGACUACCUACGGUUGUUUGGUGUAACGGGGAACUGUGCAGCCUGCAGCAAGCUAAUUCCAGCCUUUGAGAUGGUCAUGAGGGCCAAGGAGAACGUCUACCACCUGGACUGUUUCGCAUGCCAGCUCUGCAAUCAGAGGUUUUGUGUGGGAGACAAGUUUUUCCUGAAGAACAACAUGAUCCUGUGCCAGACGGACUACGAGGAGGGGCUGAUGAAGGAGGGCUAUGCCCCACAGGUCCGCUGACCCCCUGCUAGACGAGGAGGAGGGAGAGGAGGAGUAGGAGUGGGAGCAAGAGAGACUGAAGGAGAGACUGCUCCUGUCCAGCUCCUGGCCCCAUCAUGUACAUAACUCAACUUGCCUGGGAGUGGGUGGGUUGGAUGGGUGGGGGGGGAGGGGGAGAGCACACUCUGCUGUACAGAAUAGUCAUACAGACGCCGACGUGGCAGGGAAAGGCACUAGACGCCUACAAUAAAAUACACAAAUGAAAACAAACACUUUGGCCAUUUGUGACAGAUGCUGACACCAGAGAGGUCUAGCCAACAGCUGAUCCUGCUGGUUGCAAUCGAAAAGAAAAUGGACCCACCCAAAAGCAGUCUUGUCUCACCUUAUCUGACAAGGACAGACAACUUACUACUUGAAUUCUAAAAUACACUGAAGUAUUGCCAAUCCAUGUUUGAGAGAAAGGACCCCUGUACUGUAUGAUAGUUAAAACACAGUGAAUGUAAACUGAUGAUUUAUUUGUUGCUGUGUGUGUGUGUGUGUGUGUGUGUGUGUGAGAGAGAGUGCAUGCGUGGCCAAGUCAUCCGUUCCUUCAGAUUCCAAACUUAAUCACAGGAGCAUCAACAUGCUUCCAAAUCACAAAUCUUUAUUAUUUCACAAAUUCUAAAAUGUAGACUUUGUGACAUAAUCAGAGCAUUUCUCUGGAUGGAUGGAAUCUCCCACGCAGUCACUAGAUGAAGAGAUGUGACAGCACUAUGUCACUAGAAGCAGUUGACCCCUGGAGACGACUCCUCUGGCAGCAUAAAGUAAAUGUGUGAUUGGCCUAUCAUUGAAAAGCUCUUUCCUGGUCAAAGGAGUCAGCUUUUGAGGGGACCAAAAAGUCUACAUGAGGACUCUGGUUAACUAAUCAUCAGAUCUCCUGAGACUAUUUACCAGGUGCACCGUGCCUCGUAACGGUGCUUAACACCGCCCAAGACGAUUGUGAUUGGUUCAAAGAGAUGCCAAUGAAGCACAGUUUUUCCCUUCCAGGAUUGUUGUUUGGACUAGCCAGACCCUCCUCCUCAGCGCCGUGGAGGAAGGAAUGCAUAUACAGCAUGAUUUACACUUCUGUGUUCAAUGUACGCCGUGGCUACGUACAUAGUUACGGGGAGAUGCAGACCUACACCGCUGUAGCCUGCACCUCUCCAAAAAUUUAACUACACUUUGCGCCAAUGAAAAUUCACUCGGCUUUGGCUUGGUAGCGUUACUUUACAGCGUCCAGUCCCCCCCCUCCCCUAACUAAUUUCAUGGUUCUCCUUCUCCAUAAACAUGAAAUCAAGGAGAGGGUUAACUUCUCCUGCUCCAGAUGUCUCACCGUGGUCCGAAAGAACAGGGGAGACACUUUGUUUCUCCCACUAGGGCUCUAGAGCCACUACUCCGUCUGAAGAUAAUCGCCGUCACCCUCUCGCUCACACACAUGCACCAAACAGCAGUCCCUGUUAGCAGCUAGGUGGCUCCGAGGAGCAUUCAGCAGCAUUCAUUACCACUGGAGGCCAAAACAGAGCUUGAACAGUGAACAAUGGACUUCCAUUCAUCCUCAUGUUGUUGCUCUGUGUCUGCUGGAUGUGUAACUAGGCAACAGAUUGGUUUGGCAACACCGUUAGAAGGACUACAGUUUUUUUAAAGAUGUUAUGCUCUCAGCUUGCUCUACUGCCCCCGAGUGGUCCAAAAAACCAAUGCAGCAGCUUUAACCAUGAUGGAGAGGACAGAAUACCUGUGGACAAACGCGUGGCCGCGCCACGCUAUCUAUCAUGGGGUGACCAGGCACAGAUCCAUUCCUGUGUUGCAUCGUGUCAGGGCUCCAUUCAACAACGUAUGGCUGCCGGGUAUUGACUGGGACUCCAGCUUCUGUUCUGAAAGAGGGCCGGGUAUUUUUCCGCUGGAAACAGUCUUUCUAUUUAUGAAAACCUUGCUUUCACACUGCUCAAAGGGAAAUGUGGGGACAUGCUGGUUUGUCUUUGGGGUGUACAGAUUGGUCCGGGGUGGUUGGGGUUGGUUACUUUUUGUACACUAUUUAUUUGAUAAGCAUUACCUGUUGUCCAUCAUUUGGCAUUGUUUGACAUGCUGAUACUUGAAUCCAGUUGAUGAUUUCUCUGUCUCUGUUUGGCUUAUGUUGAGGGUAGCUCUGUCAUUUCCCACACAGCUUUGGGUUCAGUAAACUGCUCUCUGCAUCACGGCGGCCAUCUUGGUCCCAGCGCCCCCCCGCAGAGGAAAUCCAUCCGGUAUUAACAUAAACGUCCGAGCGUGUGCAACAAUGCUCAGCACCAUUUCUUUGCUGGAGAUAAAACCCAUUCAUUUUCAUUUGUAAAUUGUGGGUGUACAUAUAAGAAAUAUUCAUUUUGGCUUGCUACUGUACAAUGAUUUCUUUUUACGUGUCAUCCAGCAUGAGAUGUUUAUUUUUAGGACAACGCUUGUAAAUACUGUAAUUGUAAUAAUUUUAAGCACAAAUGUAAUACAGUUUUAUUGUGUUAA
This is an RNA transcript of Etheostoma cragini (Arkansas darter), 3334 nucleotides long. It is a transcript of the gene named LIM domain only 3, with no coding region annotated. The transcript is spliced from 5 exons. The record is from RefSeq and is a predicted model, not a curated record. NCBI's taxonomy places the organism in Eukaryota, Metazoa, Chordata, Actinopteri, Perciformes, Percidae.